This 2880-nucleotide ribosomal RNA is filed under the name Stenotrophomonas maltophilia. Its description in RNAcentral is "23S ribosomal RNA". It matches the Rfam family "Bacterial large subunit ribosomal RNA". The record is from RNAcentral. Lineage: Bacteria; Pseudomonadati; Pseudomonadota; Gammaproteobacteria; Lysobacterales; Lysobacteraceae.
GGUCAAGCGAAUAAGCGCACACGGUGGAUGCCUUGGCGGUCAGAGGCGAUGAAGGACGUGGCAGCCUGCGAAAAGUAUCGGGGAGCUGGCAACAAGCUUUGAUCCGGUAAUGUCCGAAUGGGGAAACCCACCCGCUUGCGGGUAUCCUGCAGUGAAUACAUAGCUGCUGGAAGCGAACCUGGUGAACUGAAAUAUCUAAGUAACCAGAGGAAAAGAAAUCAACCGAGAUUCCGUAAGUAGCGACGAGCGAACGCGGACUAGCCCUUAAGCUGGAUUGGUUCUAGGAAAACGCUCUGGAAAGAGCGGCCAUAGAAGGUGAUAGCCCUGUAUCUGAAAGGGCCAUUCCAGUGAAGACGAGUAGGGCGGGGCACGUGAAACCCUGUCUGAACAUGGGGGGACCAUCCUCCAAGGCUAAAUACUACUGACCGACCGAUAGUGAACCAGUACCGUGAGGGAAAGGCGAAAAGAACCCCGGAGAGGGGAGUGAAAUAGAACCUGAAACCGUGUGCGUACAAGCAGUAGGAGCUCCGCAAGGAGUGACUGCGUACCUUUUGUAUAAUGGGUCAGCGACUUACUGUUCGUGGCAAGCUUAACCGUAUAGGGGAGGCGAAGGGAAACCGAGUCUGAUAAGGGCGCAUAGUCGCGGGCAGUAGACCCGAAACCGGGUGAUCUAGUCAUGCCCAGGGUGAAGGUGCGGUAACACGCACUGGAGGCCCGAACCCACUCCCGUUGCAAAGGUAGGGGAUGAGGUGUGAUUAGGAGUGAAAAGCUAAUCGAACCCGGAGAUAGCUGGUUCUCCUCGAAAGCUAUUUAGGUAGCGCCUCAUAUGUAUCCUCUCGGGGGUAGAGCACUGUUAUGGCUAGGGGGUCAUCGCGACUUACCAAACCAUUGCAAACUCCGAAUACCGAGACGGACUGUAUGGGAGACACACGGCGGGUGCUAACGUCCGUCGUGAAAAGGGAAACAACCCAGACCCACAGCUAAGGUCCCAAAUUCACUGCUAAGUGGAAAACCAUGUGGAAAGGCACAGACAGCCAGGAGGUUGGCUUAGAAGCAGCCACCCUUUAAAGAAAGCGUAAUAGCUCACUGGUCGAGUCGGUCUGCGGGGAAGAUUUAACGGGGCUAAGCAGUGAACCGAAGCUUGGGGUGCAUAACUUUGUUAUGCGCGGUAGAGGAGCGUUCCGUAAGCCGUUGAAGGUGGAUUGAGAAGUCUGCUGGAGGUAUCGGAAGUGCGAAUGCUGACAUGAGUAACGAUAAUGCGGGUGAAAAACCCGCACGCCGAAAGCCCAAGGUUUCCUUGCGCAACGUUAAUCGGCGCAGGGUGAGUCGGCCCCUAAGGCGAGGACGAAAGUCGUAGUCGAUGGGAAGCAGGUUAAUAUUCCUGCACCUCGCGUAAGUGCGAUGGAGGGACGGAGAAGGUUAGGUGUACCAGGCGUUGGUUGUCCUGGGGAAAGGCGGUAGGUUUGGAUCUUUGGCAAAUCCGGGAUCCUCUAAGACCGAGCACCGAGACGAGCCUUUAAGGCGAAGUCACUGAUACCACGCUUCCAGGAAAAGCUCCUAAGCUUCAGCUUACGCAGACCGUACCGUAAACCGACACAGGUGGGUAGGAUGAGAAUUCUCAGGCGCUUGAGAGAACUCGGGUGAAGGAACUAGGCAACAUGGCACCGUAACUUCGGGAGAAGGUGCACCCUUUUUGGUGGCUCGUGCGAGCUAUAGCUGAAGAGGGUCGCAGUAACCAGGCCGCUGCGACUGUUUAUCAAAAACACAGCACUCUGCAAACACGAAAGUGGACGUAUAGGGUGUGACGCCUGCCCGGUGCUGGAAGGUUAAUUGAUGGGGUCAGCCGCAAGGCGAAGCUCUUGAUCGAAGCCCCAGUAAACGGCGGCCGUAACUAUAACGGUCCUAAGGUAGCGAAAUUCCUUGUCGGGUAAGUUCCGACCUGCACGAAUGGCGUAACGACAGCGGCGCUGUCUCCACCCGAGACUCAGUGAAAUUGAAAUCGCUGUGAAGAUGCAGCGUUCCCGUGGCAAGACGGAAAGACCCCGUGAACCUUUACUAUAGCUUUACACUGAACGUUGAGUUCGUCUGUGUAGGAUAGGUGGGAGGCUAUGAAACCAUGGCGCUAGCUGUGGUGGAGCCAUCCUUGAAAUACCACCCUGUCGUGCUUGACGUUCUAACCUGGGCCCAUUAUCUGGGUCGGGGACCGUGUAUGGUGGGUAGUUUGACUGGGGCGGUCUCCUCCUAAAGAGUAACGGAGGAGCUCGAAGGUACGCUCAGCGCGGUCGGACAUCGCGCACUGUGUGCAAAGGCAUAAGCGUGCUUGACUGCAAGAUCGACGGAUCAAGCAGGUAGGAAACUAGGACUUAGUGAUCCGGUGGUUCUGUAUGGAAGGGCCAUCGCUCAACGGAUAAAAGGUACUCCGGGGAUAACAGGCUGAUACCGCCCAAGAGUUCAUAUCGACGGCGGUGUUUGGCACCUCGAUGUCGGCUCAUCACAUCCUGGGGCUGUAGUCGGUCCCAAGGGUAUGGCUGUUCGCCAUUUAAAGUGGUACGCGAGCUGGGUUCAGAACGUCGUGAGACAGUUCGGUCCCUAUCUGCCAUGGGCGUUGGAGAUUUGAGAGGGGCUGCUCCUAGUACGAGAGGACCGGAGUGGACGAACCUCUGGUGUUCCGGUUGUCACGCCAGUGGCAUUGCCGGGUAGCUAUGUUCGGAAGCGAUAACCGCUGAAAGCAUCUAAGCGGGAAGCGCGCCUCAAGAUGAGAUCUCCCGGGGCACAAGCCCCCUGAAGGAACCAUGUAGACUACGUGGUUGAUAGGUCAGGUGUGUAAGUACAGCAAUGUAUUGAGCUAACUGAUACUAAUGAUCCGUGCGGCUUGACCAU